Molecule: ribosomal RNA, 370 nt
Filed under: uncultured bacterium
Lineage: Bacteria
Description: bacterial SSU rRNA
Rfam family: Bacterial small subunit ribosomal RNA
Source: RNAcentral
UACGGAGGAUCCAAGCGUUAUCCGGAUUUAUUGGGUUUAAAGGGUGCGUAGGCGGCUUAUUAAGUCAGGGGUGAAAGACGGUGGCUCAACCAUCGCAGUGCCUUUGAUACUGAUGAGCUUGAAUAUACUAGAGGUAGGCGGAAUGUGACAAGUAGCGGUGAAAUGCAUAGAUAUGUCACAGAACACCGAUUGCGAAGGCAGCUUACUAUGGUAUUAUUGACGCUGAGGCACGAAAGCGUGGGGAUCAAACAGGAUUAGAUACCCUGGUAGUCCACGCCCUAAACGAUGAAUACUCGCUGUUAGCGAUAUACAGUUAGCGGCUAAGCGAAAGCGUUAAGUAUUCCACCUGGGGAGUACGCUCGCAAGAGUG